UACGGGGGGGGCAAGCGUUGUUCGGAGUUACUGGGCGUAAAGGGCUCGUAGGUGGCCAACUAAGUCAGACGUGAAAUCCCUCGGCUUAACCGGGGAACUGCGUCUGAUACUGGAUGGCUUGAGUUUGGGAGAGGGACGCGGAAUUCCAGGUGUAGCGGUGAAAUGCGUAGAUAUCUGGAGGAACACCGGUGGCGAAGGCGGCAUCCUGGACCAACACUGACACUGAGGAGCGAAAGCCAGGGGAGCAAACGGG
Molecule: ribosomal RNA, 253 nt
Filed under: uncultured bacterium
Lineage: Bacteria
Description: partial 16S ribosomal RNA
Rfam family: Bacterial small subunit ribosomal RNA
Source: RNAcentral